This 454-nucleotide ribosomal RNA is filed under the name Cardinium endosymbiont of Heterocypris incongruens. RNAcentral describes it as "bacterial SSU rRNA". It matches the Rfam family "Bacterial small subunit ribosomal RNA", at positions 977 to 1435 of the family's 1533-position model. The record is from RNAcentral. Lineage: Bacteria; Pseudomonadati; Bacteroidota; Cytophagia; Cytophagales; Amoebophilaceae.
GGGCUAGAAUGUAUUUCGCUACCCAAAAUUAGGGGUUCCUUCGGGACGGGACACAAGGUGCUGCAUGGCUGUCGUCAGCUCGUGCCGUGAGGUGUUGGGUUAAGUCCUAUAACGAGCGCAACCCUCUUACCUAAUUGCCAGCACGUAACGGUGGGAACUUUAGGUAGACUGCCCGCGCAAGCGGGAGGAAGGAGAGGAUGAGGUCAAGUCAUCAUGGCCUUUAUGCCCAGGGCUACAAACGUACUACAAUGGCGUGUACAGAGGGACGCUACUUGGCAACAAGAUGCAAAUCUCAAAAGCACGUCUCAGUUCGGAUUGGGGUCUGCAAUUCGACCCCAUGAAGUUGGAAUCGCUAGUAAUCGCGUAUCAGCAAUGACGCGGUGAAUACGUUCUCGGACCUUGUACACACCGCCCAUCAAGCCAUGGGAGUUGGUAGAGCUUGAGAACAGUGGNA